RNAcentral lists this ribosomal RNA (497 nucleotides) under uncultured bacterium. RNAcentral describes it as "partial 16S ribosomal RNA". It matches the Rfam family "Bacterial small subunit ribosomal RNA", at positions 28 to 507 of the family's 1533-position model. The record is from RNAcentral.
GAUGAACGCUGGAGGCGUGCCUAAUACAUGCAAGUCGAGCGAACAGACGAGGAGCUUGCUCCUCCGACGUUAGCGGCGGACGGGUGAGUAACACGUGGAUAACCUACCUAUAAGACUGGGAUAACUUCGGGAAACCGGAGCUAAUACCGGAUAAUAUAUUGAACCGCAUGGUUCAAUAGUGAAAGACGGUUUUGCUGUCACUUAUAGAUGGAUCCGCGCCGCAUUAGCUAGUUGGUAAGGUAACGGCUUACCAAGGCAACGAUGCGUAGCCGACCUGAGAGGGUGAUCGGCCACACUGGAACUGAGACACGGUCCAGACUCCUACGGGAGGCAGCAGUAGGGAAUCUUCCGCAAUGGGCGAAAGCCUGACGGAGCAACGCCGCGUGAGUGAUGAAGGUCUUCGGAUCGUAAAACUCUGUUAUUAGGGAAGAACAAAUGUGUAAGUAACCAUGCACGUCUUGACGGUACCUAAUCAGAAAGCCACGGCUAACUACGUG